RNAcentral lists this ribosomal RNA (535 nucleotides) under Amylostereum ferreum. RNAcentral's name for it is "SSU rRNA". It matches the Rfam family "Bacterial small subunit ribosomal RNA", at positions 379 to 936 of the family's 1533-position model. Lineage: Eukaryota; Fungi; Basidiomycota; Agaricomycetes; Russulales; Stereaceae. The record is from RNAcentral.
AAGAGUGAACUAGCUAACUGAAAUCAAUCUACAUAUAAAUAUUGAUUGAUAACGUAAGGGAAAAUUAUGAUAUUACCUUACUAUUAGUGUCGUCCAAAUCUGGUGCCAGAAGACUCGGUAAGGCCAGAGACGCAAACGUUAAUCGUCUUAAACAGGCGUAAAGGGUUUGUAGGCUGCUUUGAAUUUUAUUUAAUAGACUUUACCCCAAGGUAAAAUAGCACAUUAGAUACUUAAUCAAAGCUAGAAUCAAAUAGAGGUUAUAUUAUAUAAUGCUUAAAGUAGGUCUAAUAUCCUAACAGAUUAAGUGGAAUAUUAAAAGCGAAGGCUUAUUUACCAUAAAUGAUUGACGCUGAGAAACGAAGGUGAGGAUAGGAAAUAGGAUUAGAUACCCAAAAUACCCCUCUCUGUCAACGAUGAAUGGUGGUUGCUAAUUAUAAAAUUAGUAGCUAUGUUAACACGAUAACCAUUCCGCCUUGUGAGUACGACUGCAAAGUUGAAAACAAAAAAAUUAGUCGGUUUCGGAGCAAACGAAGUG